AGUAAUGUCUGGGAAACUGCCUGAUGGAGGGGGAUAACUACUGGAAACGGUAGCUAAUACCGCAUAACGUCGCAAGACCAAAGUGGGGGACCUUCGGGCCUCAUGCCAUCAGAUGUGCCCAGAUGGGAUUAGCUAGUAGGUGGGGUAACGGCUCACCUAGGCGACGAUCCCUAGCUGGUCUGAGAGGAUGCCAGCCACACUGGAACUGAGACACGGUCCAG
This 221-nucleotide ribosomal RNA is filed under the name uncultured bacterium. RNAcentral describes it as "partial 16S ribosomal RNA". It matches the Rfam family "Bacterial small subunit ribosomal RNA", at positions 109 to 334 of the family's 1533-position model. The record is from RNAcentral.